Etheostoma cragini (Arkansas darter) is the source of this 99-nucleotide long non-coding RNA. RefSeq lists it as uncharacterized. The record is from RefSeq and is a predicted model, not a curated record. NCBI's taxonomy places the organism in Eukaryota, Metazoa, Chordata, Actinopteri, Perciformes, Percidae. The transcript has 3 exons.
GGUUCGAGUCUAGCCUGUGGCCCUUUGCUGCGUGUUAUCCCCCAUCUCUCUCUCCCCUGUCACAUGUCUAUCCUCUGUCACAUUCUAAGUAAAGAGAAA